Molecule: long non-coding RNA, 926 nt
Organism: Patiria miniata (bat star)
Lineage: Eukaryota; Metazoa; Echinodermata; Asteroidea; Valvatida; Asterinidae
Exons: 2
Source: RefSeq, a predicted model, not a curated record
UGAACCAGAAUACGCGACUCACUUCGGUGCGGUACUCUGUACCUACGAACUCUCGCCCGCCACUUGCGGUACUCUCACUGAAUCAUACGAGGAUGGUGGGUGCAGGAUGUAAAUAUUUGUUUUGAAUGGUUUUUGCGGAGGUGUGGCUUCGCGCAUCCGCCUGAUCGGGAAUUGAAUUGGAGGGGCCCAUCUGGUCCGAUCACCUCAACCUUUUACGUAAUCAGAAAUGAAGUGACCACCGAUGCCAGUGACCACCAGUGAUAUUAGGCCUAUGACAUCAUCGUCAGCCAAUCACAGCGAUCGUAACCAAGCUUUUUUGUACUUGAUGACUCUAUUUGGUCAUACAGUAAGGGGUUGUCCGCGACGGAAAUUUCUCCAGCCUUUAAAAAGGAGCGAAACGUUUCAGUUCGGGCAGUUUCGGAAAAGGUUCAGUUUCAGAAAGAUUUGGACGCCGAAAAACCUGAUGCUCAGGAUUUUCGCAACGGGAAGAAGCAACGAGACAUUUUACAGCCAGUUAGAUUCAGACUGAUCAAUAUUCUUCGCAAACUCAGGGCUCAGAACAGUCGUUUAUCCUGGUGUCUAGGAUCCGUGCAUCACACAGGCAAGACAUAUAAGCCCUGCUCCAGCAUUAGUGCAUUUUCAUCCCGAUCACAAUUAAGUGUCUGCUCUAUUUUUGGUACAUUUCAUGAGUUUCAUUACUUUUCUUAUUAUUGUAUAAAUCCAGGUUUAUAUUUGCCUUUAUGAUACUCAUAUUAUCCAGUUCAGUAUCAUUUGUUUAGCUCCUUUUUUCCCUAUACAUGUACAUGAAACUGUUUUUGUCUCCACUCUUUUCUUAGAAAUCGUUUUAACUAGCCUUUCUGUUUGGAAACUUUGAAACUUUUGAUUACUGUUAUAAGUUUUUAUUCCAACUUGAUUAUUCUUUUGGC